AUACGGAGGAUCCGAGCGUUAUCCGGAUUUAUUGGGUUUAAAGGGUGCGCAGGCGGCCAUUUAAGUCAGCGGUUAAAUCGUGGGGCUCAACCCCAUUCUGCCGUUGAUACUGGGUGGCUUGGUUGCGGUCGAGGUUGGCGGAAUUCGUUGUGUAGCGGUGAAAUGCAUAGAUAUGACGAAGAACACCGAUUGCGUAGGCAGCUGACCAGACCGCAAAUGACGCUCAUGCACGAAAGUGCGGGGAUCGAACAGGAUUAGAUACCCUGGUAGUCCGCACAGUAAACGAUGAAUACUUGUUUUCGGCGAUAUAAUGUCGGAGGCAAAGCGAAAGCGAUAAGUAUUCCACCUGGGGAGUACGCCGGCAACGGUGAAACUCAAAUGAAUUGACGGGG
RNAcentral lists this ribosomal RNA (392 nucleotides) under uncultured bacterium. RNAcentral describes it as "partial 16S ribosomal RNA". It matches the Rfam family "Bacterial small subunit ribosomal RNA", at positions 523 to 918 of the family's 1533-position model. The record is from RNAcentral.